AGAGUUUGAUCAUGGCUCAGGACGAACGCUGGCGGCACGCUUAACACAUGCAAGUCGAACGGACUUGAGAGAGCUUGCUCUCUCAAGUUAGUGGCGGACGGGUGAGUAACACGUGAGCAACCUGCCUUUAAGAGUGGGAUAACGGUCGGAAACGACCGCUAAUACCGCAUAAUAUACAUGAAUCGCAUGGUUUGUGUAUCAAAGAUUUAUCGCUUAAAGAUGGGCUCGCGUCUGAUUAGCUGGUUGGUGAGGUAACGGCUCACCAAGGCGACGAUCAGUAGCCGUACUGAGAGGUAGAACGGCCACAUUGGGACUGAGACACGGCCCAGACUCCUACGGGAGGCAGCAGUGGGGAAUAUUGCACAAUGGAGGAAACUCUGAUGCAGCGAUGCCGCGUGAGGGAAGAAGGUUUUCGGAUUGUAAACCUCUGUCUUAAGGGACGAUAAUGACGGUACCUUAGGAGGAAGCUCCGGCUAACUACGUGCCAGCAGCCGCGGUAAUACGUAGGGAGCGAGCGUUGUCCGGAAUUACUGGGUGUA
This 539-nucleotide ribosomal RNA is filed under the name uncultured bacterium. Its description in RNAcentral is "bacterial SSU rRNA". It matches the Rfam family "Bacterial small subunit ribosomal RNA", at positions 8 to 562 of the family's 1533-position model. The record is from RNAcentral.